GUUCAAGAUAAAAACAUAACCAAAACACACACACACACACACACACACACAAAAAAACACAACCUGGGACCAAUCAUCAACCUUUGGGCCCUCAGAGACCCCUGCCGUUACAACAUCUCACACCUCCACUAUUAAUCUUCCACAUACGCACUAAGUGCCGACACACCUGGAUAUCAAUAACCUAUUAAAACUGCAUCCCUAAUGCAC
Non-coding RNA from Pelobates cultripes (western spadefoot toad), 207 nucleotides. The record is from the annotation of a GenBank genome assembly. Lineage: Eukaryota; Metazoa; Chordata; Amphibia; Anura; Pelobatidae.